Long non-coding RNA from Fukomys damarensis (Damara mole-rat), 291 nucleotides. RefSeq lists it as uncharacterized. The record is from RefSeq and is a predicted model, not a curated record. The transcript is spliced from 3 exons. Lineage: Eukaryota; Metazoa; Chordata; Mammalia; Rodentia; Bathyergidae.
CUGUUGAAGACGCCUACACCAUACAGAGAGAUCUGAACCAGAGGCUUCCUGCAGGACUAGGGGGAAGGUGAGAAGUAUCAGAGGGAGAAGACAGACGUACAGUAAAAGGAAAUUCUGAAAAUGUCCUGAGGAGCACAUCAAGGGUGAGGAAGGGGCAAGUACCUCCUCCCAGAUGCAGGAAGGGAAAGAAGAAACUUAAGAGAGGAGUGAGGAGCAGAUAGGCCACAGAGUGAAAAGGUCUGCCCCUGGCCCUCCCCUCAGCUUGGGCCAGCCCUCCAGGGACACCCAGCC